This is a long non-coding RNA of Ahaetulla prasina, 340 nucleotides long. RefSeq lists it as uncharacterized. Lineage: Eukaryota; Metazoa; Chordata; Lepidosauria; Squamata; Colubridae. The record is from RefSeq and is a predicted model, not a curated record. The transcript is spliced from 3 exons.
CUGCUUCCCUCUCGGAGGGCGCUGGGCGAGCCGCCUCUUUCCCGGCCGGGCGGAGUCCAGAGAAGCCGGGAGCCUUUCCUCCCGCUCCCCCCCCCCCGUCCGGUUCUCCUUGCUCUGCCUUCAGCAGCAAAGCUCUCUUCACACACAGAUGGAAGGACUCACAUAUACCCAGAAUGGAAGAAUGGAUGGGGAAGUUGACUGCUUUGGGUCCCAAAAGGAGAUCGGGUGACCUGGAACACUGCAACCUUCAGACAUGAGAGUCAGCGGUCAAGCAUCUGAAUUUUGAUCACAUGACCUUCGGGAUGCUGAGAAAUGGUCAUAAGUUACUUUUUUCAGUGCC